Molecule: long non-coding RNA, 8045 nt
Filed under: Erythranthe guttata (spotted monkey flower)
Lineage: Eukaryota; Viridiplantae; Streptophyta; Magnoliopsida; Lamiales; Phrymaceae
Description: long non-coding RNA (EGUT_LNC001598)
Source: RNAcentral
UUUUUUUUUUUUUUUUUUUUGUAUAGAUAAAAUCACCUUUCUCUGUAACAAAUACUUUUCUGCUCUCUAACGAUUUUUUUAUGGCAAACUAGCUGAAGUUUAAAGAAUUAGCAUGUAUCUUUUGAGAGAAUUGUCUCCUCGUGACCUCGAGAUAAUGGCGGCGCCACCACUACCCGUCGAUUUCCUAUUUUGAAUCCGAGGAACUUUGCAAUCGCUUGCUCUUGAUUUCAGAUUAUUUCGUCCAUUUUCAACAAAUUUCGGUUAUUGAUCUUAUGACACCGAGAUGAAGACGUUGUUGUCGAUUGAAGUGCCGGUACCGGUGGUGAAGAGAAGUUUGAGCAAAUUGAUUUUAGUGAAACGAACUCGAUGAUGGAAAAGGAGCAACGUAUUACUGAGGGGUGAUGCAGCGGUCGUGGGGCAAAUACACAGCGGAGAUCCGCUGGAAAAUAAUGAUUUUAAGGGACAAGGUACAACAUUUAAAGGGGUAACGUGCAACAGAAAAACACUCAAUUCCAGUGAAUAAUUCAUCGAUAUUUUGAUAUCGGGGGACAUUCACAUUUCCAAAUUUUGAGGGGAUAAAGUGCGAAAAUUAGAUAUUUAUAAGGAGUGACGUGCAUUUUGCCCUACAAAAAUUGUUCAAAGGGUAACGUGCAAAACACACGAUAGUUUGGGGGGAAGUGCCAUUUUAUUUUAGGGCAAAUUACCAAAACCCCUCUGAGGUAAGCCUAAAUAGCGAAAAUCCCCCCCAUGUUCUCGUAAUUACGAAAACCCCCCUGAGGUAUGCAGACGUCUUACAAAUCGCUCUAACGGUGUUAGACUCGAUAGAAUCUUUUUGAUUCUCCCGAAUAUUCCUCCGAUAAUACCAAUUUUGCCCUUGUACACGAAAUUAACCUUAGGGGGUAAUUGUAAGCAUUUUAUUUAAGGGUUAACUGCACAUAUUCAUCUUCUUCGUCUUCUUCGUCCACCACCACGUAUCAGACACACCACCAAACACAAACCAGGCAAUCAUAACCUCUCACAAAUCAAACACCAACCACCACAACCUCUGAUCCGCCGCACCACCCCCACCACCACCGAACCAAUUUCAAUCCAUCCCCCCAUAUCUGCUAGUUCGAUUUCGAAAAAUCUGCUAUUUAAUCCGCCCCUUCACCAUCACAAGGCAAAGAAAUUGGGUUUUUUUCGCCGGUGCUCCGGUCUCAAAAUUUGACUGCCGGCUGGUGGUUAUUUCUUUGCCGCAAUCAAUCAACGGGUGACGGCGGCGGCGAAUUGCAGUGGUGGAAGCAACCCAUUUGGUGGAAAUAUGACACUGUAGCAAGGGAUAUACCUUCCGCCGUUGAAACCUUCGGCGGCGGUCCAUCAAUUUCAGCCCCAAACCAAAUUUUUUUCUUUGAAUCAGAGUUUGAAUCCGCCCGAGGAAUUUGAGUUUUUGGAAUCAAAGCUUAAUCAACAAUACAGUCCUCAAUUUGUUGUUUUUUUUUCGGGAGAGAGAAAGAUUGAUUAAUUUGGUGUUUCGGUGUGAUGUGCUUUCGGGUUAUAGUCCUUAAUUUUCGAUGGACGAUGAAGCAGAGGCGGCAGGCGGCGGAGGGCGACGAAGCAGAGUUGGGCAAGCGGAGGGCGGCGAAACAGAGGCGGCGGAGGGAGGUAAAGCAGAGGUGGCAGGCGGCGGUUUGAGGGCUGAAAUGGAUGAAGAGUAAUUUGGUUGGGCCGGUGGUGACGGGAUAAGUUUGGUUGGGGAAGAUGCCCUUUUUCAAAUAAAAAAUAAAAAAAUUAUAAUAUCAAAUUAUCAAUACAAAUUACAAAGUAAUAAAUAAAUUUAUAAAAGCAAUAAAUCAUCAAAUGAAAGGGAUGUCAGGGGGGAUUUUCGUUAUUUAGGCUUACCUCAGGGAGGUUUUGGUAAUUUGCCCUUUAUUUUUUACAUAUUUAACAGAAGGAUAUAAUAGACAUUUCACGUUUUCGGUUAAAAAAAUUCGGUCAACCGUUAGUCAAGGGGGGUUUUCGUAAUUACGAGAACAUGGGGGGGAUUUUCGUUAUUUAGGCUUACCUCAGGGGGGUUUUGGUAAUUUGCCCUUUAUUUUAACCGGCCUAAGAAGUCAUUACAAGAUUGGAAAUUUUAAGAUCGUUGUUGGGCUAAAUACCUAACACGCAAGUGCACGUAUCGCAAACAAGUAGUAAAAGUGGACUCGUGAUAGUCGGAUGUCGAUCCCACAGGGAAUACUCAAAUUAUCUAAUCCUAAGUACCAAAUCUUAACAAUUAUGAUUUUUAUCCAGCCUACACAAGGUUGUCAAAUUUAAUCAAUUAAACAAUUAAAUUAAUUAAGAAAGCAAAUAAGCACGAGAAAUAUCAAUAUAAAAAGGGAUCUAGGAUUUUAUCUUCCCCCUAUGCGAUAAUUCAUCACCCAAUUAAACCUCUAUCAUGCAAGUUACGAUUCAUGAUUAUUAACCCGAGGCACGAAAUUACUCAUAACCCGUUGUCGCGUGUAUUAUGAGUCUAUUAUUUAUAACCGAUUCACUAUAUGUCUAUGCAAACCAAUUAUGAAUAAAGGAUUAACUAACAAGUCUCGUAAACGGCUACCUAAGGUAUUAUCUAUAUGUCUGCGAUAAUACAUGCAAUUAACACACUCAUCCGGUGAAAACUACUCGAAGGCUCUUCUAUCAUUGUUCUAAUUUUUAAAACGAUCUGUCAAUCAAUUCUAACAAUAACACAUAGCAACAUAAAUUAGCUAGGUUCAUGCGCUAAAUAAGAUCAAAAUAAAGAUAUAAUCACGGAAUUUAAACUUGCAUAAUAUUAGAAAAAUAGGUUCGAAUCACCACAUAGGGUUCAAAUAAAAUCCUAAAUUAAAAACUUAGCUACUCAUGUUCUCUACGAAAAGCAUAAUAAAAAUACGAAAAUUCAUAAAAGUAGAAAAAUAAAAGUAAAGGGAGAACUAUGAUGAAGAUUCGUCAAGUCUUUGUCUUCGUUGCUCCGCUUUCUUGCUCCUAGAAUGCGUGUAAAAAGAUAAGAUCACCAAUUGUGUGCUUGGCUUGGCCUUAUAUAGGGUGUAAAAAUAUAGGAAGGCGGUUUCCUUGUGUAAUUAAACUUCAUUCACUCCGCCUCCUCGUGAUCUCGGGCGGUCGCGCCAGAUUUAGCUCUAGAACUCGGACGGCCGUCCGGGCUUCAAAUCUUCGAUUUUUUUAAUUUCUUACUUUUGGCCCACUUUUUCUCUGAAAUUGCAGUUUUUACCCCAUAAUUUUUUAAUUCUUCAAUUUGUACCUAAAAUACAAAUAAUCACCAUUUUAAGCACCAAUUAUCGUUAAAACACACCAAAAGUUCCAAUUAGAAGGUAUUAUUAAGUGUAAAAAUAUACACUUAACAAUCGUAAGCAGUGGAAUUUGAAAAUUUCUUUAUAAUCUACAUGCCCAAACUAUAUUUUUAUACGAUUUGGAAUAUUAGCGCUAAGUUCGCUUAUCUCUCAAUUAAUAUUACUUUCCUGCUAAGCUGACGUGGACUCGAUCGAAGUUGUCGCGUCAUUGCUUAUGAAACUAAGAUAAUUAAGAUAUAGUAACAAUAAAGAAUGUAUUAAAGGAUAAGAAAACCUUCCGUACAUAUGUAGAUUCUCGCUCCAAGUUUGCCAUGCAGAUUUUCUUGUAGCCCAUGUAUAUCCAUCAGUAAAAUUUGAAUGAAGCAAACCAUUUUAUCUAUAUUGCAAAUUUAGUUGAUAGAUCUCGUAUAUAUAAUCGUCUUCUCUCGAAGUAGCAUUUCCUUCUUUAUGUUACCUCUCCCUCUAUAAAUUCAAAACUUUAAAUUAAUUUUACAUUUGGAUUUUUUUUUAAAAUCAAUAAUAUAAUAUAUUCACAUAAUAAGGAUAAUUCAUAAAAAUUCUCAUACAAAUGGAAAAUACUAUAUUUAUUUUAAUAAACAUUUAUAGAAAACACUGACACAGAAAAUCUAAAGCCCAGUGGGCUUGUGUUCAGGUGCCCUAAAAAUAGCUGCACUUUGUUUUUCCUAGGUUUUGACAUCACUCAAUUACCUUUAUAAAAAGGACCGAUUAAAUCUCUUCUGUAUCUGAAAUUCCUAGGGUUUUUCUCUGCGCCGUUUUCUGUGUCUGAAUUUCCGACAGAAAAAUAAUGUACGUGUCAGAGUCGGUUUACAGAUUUUCGCCUGAAGAUCUCCACCACCGCCUAAUGCCGCCCCCUGAACCUCCACCGCCGAGGUUUGCUCUUCACUUCCGAUCAUAUAUAUAUGUGAUCUUCUUUUUCUUGAUUUAAUUUAUUUAUGUUCUUGAUAGUUGAUAUAUAUGGAUUUAAAAUGUUUUUUUCGUUCUUCAUGUUUGAUUGGUGAUGAUGAAUUAAGAUCUUAAUAACUGAUCUAUUUUUCAUUUUUUUUUCCUUUUUUCUUUAAAUAUUUUUCACCUGAUUUUGGCCCGUUGAUACAGAUUUGAAAUUCUUAAACCGAUUAAUGAUAUAUAUCAUACAUGGAUUUAAUUAAGAUGUAUUAGAUCUUAAUAACAAUAUUUAUUAUUGGAUCUUGGUAUUAAGAUGUUUUCCAUCUUCAUUUCUUGAUUUGUUUGUUGCAUGCAAAAGUUCAUUGGAUUGAAUUUAUUUAUUCUAUAUAGUUUAUAUAUAUGAAUUUAAUUAAGAUGUUCGAUUAAUUGAUUUAUGGACAAAGUUUACGACCUCUCUUUUCUUUUCUUUUUUGGUUUUUGGCAAAUAGAUGGAGGAGAAGCAUAUCGAACAAUAUUCUUGUCAGCGGAAACGGUAAAAUCAAUUUUAUUUUACCAAAUUUCUCACAAAGUUAACUUUUUUAAUUGCAUCAGUUGUCUUCACUGCCCACCACUAGUUGUUAGUUAGUCUACCUAACAACUACUCUACAGCGUGCAUGAUGAAUCUGUAUAUCUAAAUCAAUUGUUUCACCAAAGAUGAAUCAGCCUUUCUUCAUAUUUCUCACACGCUUUUGCAAACAACAGGUUUCUUCCCCGUCAAUCCACCUCAUAAUCAACACUGAUCUCCCUCGUUUGUAUGUGGCAAAAUGGUAAAAAAUGACGACGGAAUUCUUGAGCCUCCAGCUAUGAAAAUAUAUAUAUGAGAUUGGUUAAUGGUUCUUAAUGCGGAUUUAGUUUUGCUUCGUUGCUACUUUUGUUUUCCUAUCAUCAAAGACUGAAUUUGAGGUGCUAGAAACAUUCUAAUAUUAUCGAAUCUUUCUAACACCUCAAAUUGGGUCUUAGGAUAAAAAAGCUAAUGAUAGGAAAACAAAAUAUAGCAACACGACGGACUAGCUCGUAUGAAUGAUAAUGCUCUUGUUAUAAAUCGGGUCAUUUUUUCCUUUCUUGUCCCUUUUAGAAAUAUUCGACUUUUCGUUUUGUUGAAUCCAAAUAUGGAGUGUACUUACUAUAUAUGUAGAUUUUGUUGUACUAUAUAUGUUUGUAAUAAUCUUGGACGUCUUAUUCUUAAGAAUUUAUUUUCCUAAGCGAUGUAAUGAUCUUUAUUUACUUAAAGCCUUGUGGUCUCUAAUUAAUUCAGUUAAUUUUUCAAGAAACUAAUUAUGGAUAAGCUAAUCCUUUCAAAUAAUUAUUAAAUGCACAUCCAAUCUUUUCACCCUUUAAUUCAUCUACAGCUUAAACCUGGCUGAAUAAACUAUAGACAAAGAGCAUAAUUUCUUAAAAUUACAAUUUGGUCCUAAAUCUUUUGAAUUAUGUAUAAGCAAGUCGAAUUUAUUUUUGGGUAUUGGUGGUUGGAGAAACUAGAUGCAAAAGCAUUAUUUAUUAAAAUUACAAUUUGGUCCUAAACCUUUUGAAUUCUGUAUAAACAAGUCAAAUUGUAUUACAUCUGGGGAUUGGUGGUUGGAGAAACUAGAUACAGAGCAUGAUUUCAAAAAAUUGCAAUUUGGUCCUAAACCUUUUGAAUUAUGUAUAAGUAUGUCAAAUUGAACAAAACUCACCGAUUUAAGAAACUAAGGUUUCUGCAAUUUAUGCAAUUUCCGCAAAAGGAAUCAUCGGGAUUAAUCUAGGGGGGUGGGCCGUUGAACAAAGAAGAUAUGAGUUGGGCGGUGGGCUGUUAAAAAAUGGCGCCGGAGAUGGUUUAGGCGGUGGAGCGGUGUCGGGAGGAUGAUGAUUUUUUUCUUUUCUUUAAUUAAAUUCUGGAAAAUUGCAAUUUAACCUCUUUUAGUUUCUGCAAAAUUUCAGAAACUCUAUUUGGCCCCUUAAUUUUAAUACAUACCUGUUAAAUGGUUGUGGCUUUUAUUUUUGCAGAAACCUCCCUGGGGUACUUUUGUCUUUUCUCGGUCAACGGGAAAAAGGUAAAUGGGUCGAGUGUGCUGUCUAAAAAUAAAUUAAGGGACUAUUUGCUAAUUUUUUUAUGACAGUGGAAAUGCACAGUUGCGAUUUUUUACACGGGUACUAAAUGCAAUUAUCUAAAACUUUCAAUUAUUUUUUAUAUUUGCAUAAUAAGGAUAUUUCUAGGAAAAUUACAGUUUAUGUCCCUAAACUUUACCACUAAAACGAUUUAUGUCCUCAAACAUUUCAAUCCACGAAAUAUGUCCUCAAACUUGCCACUUUUGAUCACUUUAUGUUCUGCCGUUAAUUUCGGCAACUAACUUCGACGGAAAUAGCACACGUGGCUCACGGGACGUCUAUGUAUGUCGAGUUGUACAACACCCAGUGCCUACGUGGCCGACGAAACGUGAUGUGGAGCGACACGUCAUUCUCCUCCCCUAUUUAUAUUCUAAAAUCCCCAAUUCUCCAUAUCCCCAAUGAACCAGUAAAUCCAAUCCCUAAAACACCAUUUCGAAUCCUUCAAUUGAGGUGAAAUUCGAAAAUAGCAGAAUCGUCUUCUCAAGUUUUUGAAUGCCCGAGUAGUUAAAGCGUCAUAAUUGCAAAAUAUUUUUCGAUUUGGUAAGUUUCCUCAGCGUAGCUUCUAAGAAGGGAAAAACUCUUCAAAUGUGAGAAUGUUUGGAUUUUUUUAUGGGUUUAUGAAUUCGAUUUUAGUAUGGGUUAGAGCAAAAAUGCAUAUUAGAUUGAAAAUUUGGGAGUGGGUUGAGGUGAUUGAAAUUGGGAAGUGUGGGAAAAUUAUGGUUUAUGGGAAUGAAACGUGAUUUGGGAUUUGGGAGAAUGAGUUAGAGGAAAAUAGUGUAUUCUUGUGCCACGUCAACAUUUAAUAUUCAUUAUAUUAUCCGACGUCACAUUUAACGGCCACAUAGACGUCACGUGAGCCACGCGUGCUAUUUCCGUCGAAGUUGGCUGCCGACGUUAACGGCAGAACAUAAAGUGAUCAAAAGUGGCAAGUUUGAGGACAUAUUUCGUGGAUUGAAAUGUUUGAGGACAUAAAUCGUUUUAGUGGUAAAGUUUAGGGACAUAAACUGUAAUUUUCCCGAUAUUUCUACUGGCCCCUAACCUUGUACUUUUACAUUUCGCUCACUUUUUUACUAGCAACACCCAUUUCAGAAAUUCAAUUAGCCCCUCUAGCCUCGACUUCUAAACCUUCUUCUCAAUUUCUCUACGAAUUCCUUAUUCCAUUUAUGCAUAUACAUUGUGAGGGUACUACCCUUUGAUCGGAUGAAGUUUGUCAAUUCCGGUAAAAAAUACUCCGGGAGUUUGACUUUGGAGCAAAGUACUGCAACAAAGAUAUAUUUUAAAAGGGGAUGUCUCUUUUUUUUAGUUUCUAGGGGGGGAAAAGUGCGAAUUUCUAAAAUUUCUAGGUGGCGAAGUACAAUUUUCCAUAAUGUAUAUCUUUUGUUAAAAAAACAUUAAAAAAAUAUUAGUAAAUCAUGAAUAGCCAACAAUCUCCACAUUCAAUCUUCCACAAUCAACAAUCAUCUUCCUCUGUUUUUUUGUUUUUUUUUUUUUUUUUUGUAUAGAUAAAAUCACCUUUCUCUGUAACAAAUACUUUUCUGCUCUCUAAAAUCUACUAACGAUUUUUUUAUGGCAAACUAGCUGAAGUUUAAAGAAUUAGCAUGUAUCUUUUGAGAGAAUUGUCUCCUCGUGACCUCGAGAUAAUGGCGGCGCCACCACUACCCGUCGAUUUCCUAUUUUGAAUCCGAGGAACUUUGCAAUCGCUUGCUCUUGAUUUCAGAU